GGUGGUUCUCAGGUGACGUGCCCCAGAAUCGGGCUCCCUCCUCUCUGGUUUUGGGUGCAUCACCUAAGAACCGCC
Molecule: non-coding RNA, 75 nt
Organism: Myotis lucifugus (little brown bat)
Lineage: Eukaryota; Metazoa; Chordata; Mammalia; Chiroptera; Vespertilionidae
Source: Rfam